Molecule: ribosomal RNA, 253 nt
Filed under: uncultured bacterium
Lineage: Bacteria
Description: partial 16S ribosomal RNA
Rfam family: Bacterial small subunit ribosomal RNA
Source: RNAcentral
UACGGAGGAUCCAAGCGUUAUCCGGAAUCAUUGGGUUUAAAGGGUCCGUAGGCGGUUUUGUAAGUCAGUGGUGAAAGCCCAUCGCUCAACGGUGGAACGGCCAUUGAUACUGCAAGACUUGAACUAUUAGGAAGUAACUAGAAUAUGUAGUGUAGCGGUGAAAUGCUUAGAGAUUACAUGGAAUACCAAUUGCGAAGGCAGGUUACUACUAAUGGAUUGACGCUGAUGGACGAAAGCGUGGGGAGCGAACAGG